Triticum dicoccoides is the source of this 4870-nucleotide long non-coding RNA. RefSeq lists it as uncharacterized. The transcript is spliced from 11 exons. The record is from RefSeq and is a predicted model, not a curated record. Lineage: Eukaryota; Viridiplantae; Streptophyta; Magnoliopsida; Poales; Poaceae.
CCUUACGAUCUAUCCCUCGUGCCCACAGAUCGUUCUCCGCCGCCCUCCCAUCGAUCUGCCGCCGAUCCCUGCGGAGCUUCCCUCCCCAAUCCGAUCUGACGGAGAGAGUGCCAGAUCCGGCCGGGGGAGCCGCCGUAGAGCCUCCACGUCGGUGGAGCAGCACCUCCUGCCACGGACGCCGCCGCCACCUCCUGCCUCACGACCCUUUGCCGCGACUCCGCCCCCAAGCGCCGCUCCCGCACGCAACCCUAACCCUAUCCCGCCAUGCCUCGCUGCCUCGCCGCUUGAGCCGCGCUGAUGGAGCCCGAGCAGCGGUGGCCGACCCCGUCACCGCCGCCGAGCCUGUGGACGAGGAGAAGGAGGAGGAGACGGAGGCGGCCGAGGACGAGGAGGACACGCUGCUGGACCGCGCGCAGCCUGAUCUCACGGGUCCCUUUGCACAUGUGCAGACUUGCCCAAUAUGUGAUACUGUGUUUUGCAGUUCGUCAAUGGACCAAUGCCUAAUCUCCCCAAGGUUGAUGUUUCACUGGACCCGGUGAAGGAGUUGAGCAGAGUAAUAUCUGAGCGAAAAAAUUGAGGGGCGUGCUUUGGUUGUGCUCUCAGGUUAUUUUACGAGGGUUGUGUGCACUGAACCCCAUUUCUCGGGACCAAAGUAUUCUUCUGGCCCUUUUCCAGCAACGGACAUGCGACAUAGCCAACUACACAUUUUUCCUAACAUUGAUGGACGAUGAACAAGAUGGGAAUGAGGAGGAUGCGACCUAUAGAUGGUUGCUAUGGAUCGGGAGGUUGAUACUGAACAUCAGUUUACUACUAAUCCGGAGUAGUAAUAUUGGAUUACAGGUCAUGGGUUAACUAAUACAUGCAUCAGCUUUGUAUCAUAAAGAUUUCACCAUCCCAAGGUAAUGGAAAUAAGUUCACAAGAUUCGCAUGUUGAGGUCUGUACAAAGAGAUACAAGGCAAUGUCUGUGUGCUGGAAGGAGAAACUCACUGCCAAAGCUAUAAUCCCUGAUGCUAAAGCCUGCAUGUUCAAGUCUGCAGAGUUUACUCAUAUUACUGUAUGAAUGAUUAAUACAGAGGGAGCCCUUUUGUCAGGUCAUUUAAUCAUUAAAUCAUACGUAAAAUUAUCUCAGAGGGAGUAUUUCAUUUUCUACCUGAACCAAGUUGUUAUUUCAUUUCUAAGAGGCAAAGAGUUCCUCCUGGUUAGUUUGCCACAUUUUAUAUGUCUGUCUAUGUGCAUUACUAAUUCACUAUAUGCACCUUUAGUUCCCAGUUUUGGCUCACUUUCUUGAUGCAUCUCGGAUGAGAGGAAAGGAAUGGAUAAUCUGACAAGCAAUGUUCGGGCAUACCCUUAUAUUUACGUCUGAUGAAAUGCUGCAGGUGCAAACUAAUCAAGACUGCUGCCAUGAGCAAAAGAGCAGACAUUACUUAUGAGAAAACAAUAAAAGAAUCUUCCGUGACUACAUACCACGACGAGUCAAAGACGAUGAAAGCACUACUCCAUUGGUGGUGUUAGCAAGUGGAGUCUGGAGGGAGAACAACACAAAGUAGGAAAUUGAUUCCCUCGCCCUCGCUUGCUUCAACGACCCCGCCCGUCUUGGUGGGGUCGAUUCCCCCAUCGCCCGACUCAUCUCCGACGAGGUAGUCGAAAUAAUUCUAUGCUUCAGAUCCAGUGGUAAUGUAAUUUUGGUCGGGCAGGGGUUUGUGAAGAAAACUAGCAAGGUUCAUAGAUGCACCCAGGUGGAAUACUUACUUUCCAAAUGUCAAGUAUUUUUAAAAAAUUAGACAUAUAAAUGUCUGAGUCCUUUGUGUGCUUGUCAAAUAUCAUGCAAAAAUGAUAAAGAGGACGAGGUUAUGAGGUAAUGUGCUCGGGCGGGAGGAAGAGGUACUGGUUCAAACCAUGAAAGUUCUUAGCUCAUAAUUGCUACCAAUUCUACAGAAAAGGUUGUGAUUUUGUUAACCUGACUAGAGCUUUCAUGUUAUGUCAGUCCUUUAUUUAGAUGAUUUAGCUGUUGACCUACCGUUCCUUUCUAUCAUCCAUGGGCUAAAAAAUGAAUUAUCAACAAGUAUGGUGAUAGCCAGCGUUACUGUGAUCUCCAAAGAACAAUAACUAUGCAACAUAGUGCUGAACUUUGACAUUUUCGUUUUGCUAUAAAUUUCCUUUUAAUAUUUCGUAAUUUAUUUAAUUAAUCUUUCUAUUAAUAUUUGGUUUCACUAUAGUAAAUUUAUUUGAAGGUCUCCAUGAUGGCAUAAUUCUAUGUAGACUGAUGUGUCGAUUAUUUUGGCAUGCAUUUAUUUGCCCAACAUUACCUAGAUACUUAGUGCCAUUACAAUGACAUCCCGUUUUAUUUCAGAAAGUGAUUGCUCCAUCACAUACACAUUAAAAGAAAUUGCACAACUGCACCAUGGCUAUCCAGUAUAUCAAGCAAGAUUAAUCUAAACAUACCUUACAGCAUCUCAUUACUCCCGUCGAAGUAAUCUAAACAUGUUCUUAAUGGCGACAAAUUUGAGCAGAAGAUAUUCUUAAUGGCAACAAGUAACUAAUUCUUUCGUUUCUAUGGAAUAUGUAAAUUCAUAUGCAGGUAAGCAGGUUAAUCUAAACAUGCCUUACAGUAUCCCAUUACUCUUGUUGAAAUUUUAUACUGUUAGAUUUCACCUUUGUUUGUAUUAAAUAUCUGAAGUAACGGAGCUUGAUUUUCAGUUUUGUUUUUUCACUCACUUCAUAGCCAACAUUACAGUGGUAUAUGUUGUAUGUAUUUCAGCACUACACUUUUCCCUCGGUCUAUAUAGUCACUGUUACUUGCCUAAAGACCGGGAAUUUUCGUUGUUCCGUUUCAACAACACGGUAUAAAUCCAAAUAGUUACUAUUACCUGAGGACAGCUUGUCUUCCCCAACAUGGGAUUUGUUGUUAACUCUACUCAUCUUCGAUGUUUAUACAUGAUUGGCAAGUGUCAGCAACUUCUCGUGUUCACUUUUGGUUAGCAAAGGUUUUGAUAUAACAGUCAGAUAUUUAUGUUUGGGAUUAGCUCAUAGGUGAGACUCUGGGUUCCCCUCCCCUCUGUCGAUCGCUCCAGCAGCGAGAGGGUCGGGGAGCCCCUGUUCUCUGCUUUGGUGUGUGUAUAGGGUGUGUGGAGAUUUCGUCUCCUGGCUUCGUCCCCAUGGCGGCUGGGCGUGCUUCAUCCCUCAUCAUGGAGCCUAGGAGUCAUGUUCAGGAGUUGGAGCGGCGCCAGAUCUCCCCAUGUCUCGUCCUUGGUGGUUCUUCAUCAUGUUGCAUCUCCGGUGUGCUGGUCCUACUGGACCGAGGUUGAUGACUUCCUGGCCGCAAAGAACCUGUCUGCACUCUACAAGAUCAUGCUGGCAAAAUGUAGAGCGGCGCCUGAUCUCCCCAUGCCUCAUCCUUGGUGCUUCUUUGUCAUGUUGCACCUCCGGUGUGAUGGUCCUACUGGACAGAGGUUAACGACUUCCUGGUCGCGAAGCAUCCGUCCGCACUCUACAAGGUCACGUCGGCUCCAUGUUGGAGCGGGAGCGCGCCUUGAGCCCGCAUCUGAGUUUGUUGUAUCUGAGUUUGUGGUGGGUCGAAGCCCCAAGGACCCGAUUGUGAUUUGUGUUUUCUCUAGGGUGCUUAUACCACUGGUGUUCUUUAAUAUAUGACCUGGGUCUUCUCCACAAGAAAGGGUGAUAUCUAUCAUUUGUAAUGCAUUGCACACUACAGAGUUAUGUGUUUGUGCUACUUUCUUUAUUUUGUGCAUCAGAUAUGAAAGUAUACAUCGUUGGAUUUCAUUUUUAUUUUGAAAACCCAUUGCAAGUGAAGUGGAUUUCAAUUAUUUCUUGUAUAUUAUUGGCUACUUUUUUAUACAUGUGAAAUAUGACAUGCCUUAUGCUUAUAUAUCCAAUUAUCCACUAUGUAUUGCAGAUAGCAAUAUUGAAUGGCUUUAGUAACAUUUCCCUUUUCAAGGCAUAAUGUCUGUCCUGGUACUUGCACCGGACAUAAACUAUUGUAAAUAUAGUAAAAUCUUAUAAUUCUAUUGUGGGAUUUCACUCUUUGGUGUGUGACAGGCUAGCGGUUGUGCUUGCUGUCUCCAGUGUUUAGGUGGAAACUACAUAAUCAUAUUUGGUAACUUUGGGGAGAAGCUGGGAUUUUUGUUGGUAUGCAGUGUUCAGGUGGAAACUACAGAAUCAUAUUUGCUAACUGUGUGGGAAAGCUGGGAUUUUUGUUGGUAUGCAUGUCAGAUACAAGACUAACCAAUGUGCAUGUAUUGCUCAAAUAUUUCAGUGGUCCUAUUACAUUACUGUAUUUAGUAAAAACAUGCUCUGGCUCUUUGCACUAAUACUCCGACAAAUGUGGCCCUGCUUGAUCUUAGGUUAAUAAUUUUAUAUUGCUGGCAGAUUAAUUCAUAUAGCUCUUUAACUUUUGGAAGAGAUAACUCAGAUGACUUAUGAGAAGAUGCUCUGAUAGAUGUGCAAUGUACCAAAAAAGAGUUCUUUUGGCAACAUAAUUUCAUGUAAUUUGUGCGGAGCUACCUUGAAAGAGCAAUAAAACUCUAGACGGAGCAAGGACCACCACAUGGUGAACACUUGCACCUGUGCAUGAAGAGCGCCAGCCGUUGAAUGGCGUGGCACAUCAAGUCAGGGAAACAUUACUUUCUUCACUGGUCUCCAAUAUGUGCUUUUGCUUUCUCCCUCUUCCUUGUUUAUUAGAGCUUUUAUCAAUAUAUUUAAGAAAAGGCUCUACGCCUUUUCAAUCAGCUAUUUUGUCAAAGUGGAAUUUUGUGAGUUUAUGGAUGAGAAUUAACAAAAUAGUUCUUCCAUAUUUGUUACGUAUACAUGCAUAUAACAUGUAUCAUAUUUGUCGAAGGUGCCAUGGGAGCUAGC